Molecule: ribosomal RNA, 468 nt
Filed under: uncultured bacterium
Lineage: Bacteria
Description: partial 16S ribosomal RNA
Rfam family: Bacterial small subunit ribosomal RNA
Source: RNAcentral
GACGAACGCUGGCGGCGUGCUUAACACAUGCAAGUCGAACGGAAAGGCCCUGCUUUUGUGGGGUGCUCGAGUGGCGAACGGGUGAGUAACACGUGAGUAACCUGCCCUUGACUUUGGGAUAACUUCAGGAAACUGGGGCUAAUACCGGAUAGGAGCUCCUGCUGCAUGGUGGGGGUUGGAACGUUUCGGCGGUUGGGGAUGGACUCGCGGCUUAUCAGCUUGUUGGUGGGGUAGUGGCUUACCAAGGCUUUGACGGGUAGCCGGCCUGAGAGGGUGACCAGGCACAUUGGGACUGAGAUACGGACCAGACUCCUACGGGAGGCAGCAGUGGGGAAUAUUGCACAAUGGGCGGAAGCCUGAUGCAGCGACGCCGCGGGCGGGAAGACGGCCUUCGGGUUGUAAACCGCUUUCGCCUGUGACGAAGCGUGAGUGACGGUAAUGGGUAAAGAAGCACCGGCUAACUACGUG